AUUAUACCGUGAAACUGCGAAUGGCUCAUUAAAUCAGUUAUCGUUUAUUUGAUAGUACCUUACCACUUGGAUAACCGUGGUAAUUCUAGAGCUAAUACAUGCUAAAAACCCCGACUUCGGAAGGGGUGUGUUUAUUAGAUAAAAAACCAAUGCCCUUCGGGGCUCUUUGGUGAUUCAUGAUAACCUAACGGAUCGCAUGGCCUUGCGCCGGCGACGGUUCAUUCAAAUUUCUGCCCUAUCAACUUUCGAUGGUAAGGUAUUGGCUUACCAUGGUUUCAACGGGUAACGGGGAAUUAGGGUUCGAUUCCGGAGAGGGAGCCUGAGAAACGGCUACCACAUCCAAGGAAGGCAGCAGGCGCGCAAAUUACCCAAUCCCGACACGGGGAGGUAGUGACAAUAAAUACUGAUAUAGGGCUCUUUUGGGUCUUGUAAUUGGAAUGAGUACAAUUUAAACCCCUUAACGAGGAACAAUUGGAGGGCAAGUCUGGUGCCAGCAGCCGCGGUAAUUCCAGCUCCAAUAGCGUAUAUUAAAGUUGUUGCAGUUAAAAAGCUCGUAGUUGAACUUGGGGCUGGCUAGCGGGUCCGCCUUACCGCGUGCACUUGUCCGGCUGGACCUUUCCUUCUGGAGAACCUCAUGCCCUUCACUGGGUGUGUUGGGGAACCAGGACUUUUACUUUGAAAAAAUUAGAGUGUUCAAAGCAGGCCUUUGCUCGAAUACAUUAGCAUGGAAUAAUAGAAUAGGACGUGCGGUCCUAUUUUGUUGGUUUCUAGGAUCGCCGUAAUGAUUAAUAGGGAUAGUCGGGGGCAUCAGUAUUCAAUUGUCAGAGGUGAAAUUCUUGGAUUUAUUGAAGACUAACUACUGCGAAAGCAUUUGCCAAGGAUGUUUUCAUUAAUCAGUGAACGAAAGUUAGGGGAUCGAAGACGAUCAGAUACCGUCGUAGUCUUAACCGUAAACUAUGCCGACUAGGGAUCGGGCGAUGUUUCUAUCUUGACUCGCUCGGCACCUUACGAGAAAUCAAAGUUUUUGGGUUC
RNAcentral lists this ribosomal RNA (1032 nucleotides) under Melanomma pulvis-pyrius. RNAcentral describes it as "SSU rRNA". It matches the Rfam family "Eukaryotic small subunit ribosomal RNA", at positions 73 to 1114 of the family's 1831-position model. The record is from RNAcentral. Lineage: Eukaryota; Fungi; Ascomycota; Dothideomycetes; Pleosporales; Melanommataceae.